Molecule: long non-coding RNA, 524 nt
Organism: Dendronephthya gigantea
Lineage: Eukaryota; Metazoa; Cnidaria; Anthozoa; Malacalcyonacea; Nephtheidae
Exons: 3
Source: RefSeq, a predicted model, not a curated record
CCUGAUUUAUCUUAUAGAGUUACCGCGUUACGAGUACUAUCAGAUUUAUGGUUAGACCAGUCAAUUCCGUUGCUGUUUAAAGGUAGCAUUCUACCAAAAAAGUUUGAAAAUCAGCCUAUUUUGCUGGUUUCAUUGAGCAAUCUGUCCAGCCAACAGCUCGGAAUUGUGUCCUUAAUUUGUGGAACCACCAAGGAAUUUCAAAACACUUAUCGAGGAAUUCUUCGGUAGUGACCAAAUACUUGUUGUUAUGUUUGCCAACCAGGAAGUAAAUCAAGGAACAAACUAAUCAAACAAAACUUGAGAAAUUCUAGAAUCUGGACGAAGUAAUAUAUUGUAUAAAAGGAUCAAAGUUCGUGAUGACUUCGUUUGGUUUCCUGAAUCUGUUUGGCCUCAUUUGCCUGAUAUUUCCAUGUCAAGGAGUUAUCUAUCCCCCAACCAGUGGAAACAGCUUGACAUUCCCACCAGGAUCAACUGGAAAAAUAGAGUGGUCAUUUGACGACAACAUAUCUGAUGUGUUUUCACGA